CAUGCAUGUGUACCAAGAGCAUCCAUGCAACAUGGGCUUAAUUUGGCGGAGAUGGUGGCGUCGGGCUGGGACCAGGAGCAGGCGGGCCAGGCGCAGGUGGGCCAGGCACAGGCGGGCCAGGCGCAGGUGGGCCAGGCGCAGGUGGGCCAUUGAUGAAGCACUUCUCGCAGCAGUCCUUCAAGCACGCCGUUUUCUUUCUGCUAUCUGUAACAGUGAAACAAACAAAACGGGCCCAACACAUGAACAGAAGAGAGGCAUUAAUCAGACAACCAUACUAUAGUACAGUAUAAUAUCGCGUGCUGCUCUGCUCCUCGAUUGUUUUGAUGGGGCGUUUGACCGUGCACGUACGGUG
Molecule: long non-coding RNA, 352 nt
Filed under: Zea mays
Lineage: Eukaryota; Viridiplantae; Streptophyta; Magnoliopsida; Poales; Poaceae
Description: long non-coding RNA (ZMAY_LNC002086)
Source: RNAcentral